UAGGGAAUCUUCGGCAAUGGACGGAAGUCUGACCGAGCAACGCCGCGUGAGUGAAGAAGGUUUUCGGAUCGUAAAGCUCUGUUGUUAGAGAAGAACGUUGGUAGGAGUGGAAAAUCUACCAAGUGACGGUAACUAACCAGAAAGGGACGGCUAACUACGUGCCAGCAGCCGCGGUAAUACGUAGGUCCCGAGCGUUGUCCGGAUUUAUUGGGCGUAAAGCGAGCGCAGGCGGUUCUUUAAGUCUGAAGUUAAAGGCAGUGGCUUAACCAUUGUACGCUUUGGAAACUGGAGGACUUGAGUGCAGAAGGGGAGAGUGGAAUUCCAUGUGUAGCGGUGAAAUGCGUAGAUAUAUGGAGGAACACCGGUGGCGAAAGCGGCUCUCUGGUCUGUAACUGACGCUGAGGCUCGAAAGCGUGGGGAGCAAACAGGAUUAGAUACCCUGGUAGUCCACGCCGUAAACGAUGAGUGCUAAGUGUUAGGGGGUUUCCGCCCCUUAGUGCUGCAGCUAACGCAUUAAGCACUCCGCCUGGGGAGUACGACCGCAAGGU
This 548-nucleotide ribosomal RNA is filed under the name uncultured bacterium. RNAcentral's name for it is "bacterial SSU rRNA". It matches the Rfam family "Bacterial small subunit ribosomal RNA", at positions 355 to 894 of the family's 1533-position model. The record is from RNAcentral.